Long non-coding RNA from Mesocricetus auratus (golden hamster), 698 nucleotides. RefSeq lists it as uncharacterized. The transcript has 3 exons. The record is from RefSeq and is a predicted model, not a curated record. NCBI's taxonomy places the organism in Eukaryota, Metazoa, Chordata, Mammalia, Rodentia, Cricetidae.
ACAAAGAAUUUAGUUUUCUUUUUUAAGAUAAACUCACAAGCAUGGGUGCAGGAUUGACGACCUUCAAGGAGAAGACGGGCCGGGAGACAGGAGUCAGGAGACAAGCCCUCAGUCAGGCUGUCUCUCACUGGAGUUUCAUUCCCCUCUCUGGGAUUAAACAAGAAAGCAAGACACUAACUCCAAGAGAGACCAGUCCCGUGGUGGUUGAAGUCAGUCUUUGGAGUCUGAUCCUCUACAUCCGUGACAUUAACAAUGUUCUUUCCUCGGUGUCUUUGUUCAAGCGUCACCCACACAUAUAACCAGGAACAUCCACGAGAGAUGUCCUCACGUACACAGUAAGAAGAUUCCCUGGGAGGAAGAGGCAAGCUUUUCCAGCGCAGGUACCUUUAACUGUUGGCCCACAGAAUAAGAGUUUAAAAUGCGCUAGGCGAGUACCAUGUCAUGCAAUGUGGCUUUAAUAGAUGUCAGAUGACUACGGAUACUAUCAUCUGUUUCUCAUGAUGGAACAUUUCUCAAGCAGGGACAAAAAUAAAAAAGGAAAAUAGAAACCAUGACAUACCCAAGUGAAAGAGGAAGUGUUUGCCUAUUUACAUUCAUUUGGAUCACAUGCUCUUUUAGAACUCAAGCCUGAUAAAACAUUCAUAUUGGCAUUUCUGCUAAGGUGUCCACAAGUGAUAAAUCAUUUAUGGCAAAAUCAC